UCAGUUGGUGACACACUUGCUCAGCACAA
RNAcentral lists this non-coding RNA (29 nucleotides) under Rattus norvegicus (Norway rat). Lineage: Eukaryota; Metazoa; Chordata; Mammalia; Rodentia; Muridae. The record is from RNAcentral.